UUAUGGUAGGGCUUCACACGUCAUACAAUGGUCGGUACAGAGGGUUGCCAAGCCGCGAGGUGGAGCCAAUCCCUUAAAGCCGAUCGUAGUCCGGAUCGUAGUCUGCAACUCGACUACCGUGAAGUCGGAAUCGCUAGUAAUCGCAGAUCAGCAUGCUGCGGUGAAUACGUUCCCGGGUCUU
This 181-nucleotide ribosomal RNA is filed under the name uncultured Thauera sp. RNAcentral's name for it is "partial 16S ribosomal RNA". It matches the Rfam family "Bacterial small subunit ribosomal RNA", at positions 1202 to 1382 of the family's 1533-position model. Lineage: Bacteria; Pseudomonadati; Pseudomonadota; Betaproteobacteria; Rhodocyclales; Zoogloeaceae. The record is from RNAcentral.